Long non-coding RNA from Sphaerodactylus townsendi, 704 nucleotides. RefSeq lists it as uncharacterized. The record is from RefSeq and is a predicted model, not a curated record. The transcript is spliced from 2 exons. Lineage: Eukaryota; Metazoa; Chordata; Lepidosauria; Squamata; Sphaerodactylidae.
GCAUUUGUUUCAGCUGCUUCACCAGAAAACUACUUGCAUACAAAUAAAGGCACAGACCUUCUUCAGACAUACCAGGAGCUUACCCGCUGAAUGGAAUGGGAAAACAGGACACACAUGCAUAAAUUUACAACUCUGAUUCAGUUUAAAGUUCUGGUUAUGACCUACAAUAGCCCUGCACCCACGUACCUGCAUGACCUGCCCCUCCUGCUAUGCUAUACCACAACAGCUUUAUGCAUCUGAGCAAAGACUUUGGAAGGUGCCACCCUGCAAGUGGAUAAGACAGUGAAUUCCUUGUUCAUACCCAUUCUCUGUGGUGGCUCACAUCAUGUGGAACUGCCUGUCUGACAAAGUCAGGAAGGCCUUAUGCUUCUGUCAUUUCACAGGACGUGCAAAACAGAAAUGUUCAGGAUAUUUUUACUAUGGGAUUAGAACAACUCAGAAGGUCAGUUUUCUAAGGUACAGGGCUGUAGUCUAUUGCAAUGUUUAUUGUAUGUAUCAUCUAUUUCUACCUUUGUAACUUACUUUUGGAAUUAUGGUAUGUCACGGCUUAACAGUUUUUGUUCGCAUCGCUCUCCAAUUCUGUAAUGCCAGUCCUACAGCAUUUUUAUUGGAAGUCUGUGCUAUGUCAUUGUGUUGCUUUUAUAUUUUGUAAUUUGUUUUGAUGCAGGCUAUGAAUGAAGUAAAUAAAUCAACCAUGAACUUUG